GGUUCACUAGCUCAGUCGGUAGAGCACAUGACUUUUAAUCAUGGU
This 45-nucleotide transfer RNA is filed under the name Clostridium sp. BL8. It matches the Rfam family "tRNA", at positions 1 to 44 of the family's 71-position model. From Rfam's summary of the family: Transfer RNA (tRNA) molecules are approximately 80 nucleotides in length. Their secondary structure includes four short double-helical elements and three loops (D, anti-codon, and T loops). Further hydrogen bonds mediate the characteristic L-shaped molecular structure. tRNAs have two regions of fundamental functional importance: the anti-codon, which is responsible for specific mRNA codon recognition, and the 3' end, to which the tRNAs corresponding amino acid is attached (by aminoacyl-tRNA synthetases). tRNAs cope with the degeneracy of the genetic code in two manners: having more than one tRNA (with a specific anti-codon) for a particular amino acid; and 'wobble' base-pairing, i.e. permitting non-standard base-pairing at the 3rd anti-codon position. Lineage: Bacteria; Bacillati; Bacillota; Clostridia; Eubacteriales; Clostridiaceae. The record is from Rfam by way of RNAcentral.